GUGUUUGAACUAGAGCAUAGGUUUGAGAAAAACAGCCAAUCAAUUCAAACAUUGCCAAGGGGAAAUCCAUCACAACUGUUGGUAACUUGUUCCAAUGGUUAGUUAUCUUCACUGUUAAAAAGUGUGGUAGUGCCUGGCUCCAUCAACAUGACAUUCAGCAUGAACAGACCAGCACAAGACCAAAAUAAAUGGUGGAAACUGAUGGAGGCCCUAUGCACCCGAGAUUGUGGGAGGAUAAAGAAGAUGAUCGACUCAUGGAUCAAAGCCCCAUUAUGCUAGCAGGUUCCUUGUUGCCUUGAAAUCUGCAUGAAAGUGGAAAUGAAACUACUGGAAUACAUUGCGAUUUAAGAUUUUUCUUCAGAAACAACUGAUAAAUCUGCGUGGAAUUUCCUUUUUUUCUGAAGACCUAGGGAGCUUAUAUUCUCCUUGUGAGGCGAAAUCUGAAAACUUUUCUCUCCCAAAAUACAAACUGCAAGGGAAUUGUUAUUUGUGUAUGAGGCUUACAUAUAAAUUUUGGUUUCUCUAAGUAAGCAAGUCAAUUCAAAGUAUUUAAUGUACAUAGAGAAUUUUUAUAAUUCAGUAGUAAUUCCAGCUUUCCCUGAAAGGAGCUUAAAACACUACUUGCUGUUCAAUGUUUAAUACUGGUCCAAACUACCCUGUCACAGACAAAAGAGAGAUUUACAAUUCUUGCAAUGUGCUUGCAAACCCAAAGAUGAGAGGACCUUCGGAUUUAUAUACUCUUGAUUGACUGUAACCUUUUGCCUUCUCCAGGUACUUCUGAGCACCUUGUAGCUAUUAGGCUAGCAAAGCAAAAAAGUUUAAAGGACAACAAUUUAAUCCUUUCCAGUGCAUGUAUCUGUCUCAUUAAAGCAUUCUCCUGUAGCAGUGUAAUGAUACAUUAAAUGGAAUCCAU
Molecule: long non-coding RNA, 913 nt
Organism: Mauremys reevesii (Reeves's turtle)
Lineage: Eukaryota; Metazoa; Chordata; Testudines; Geoemydidae
Exons: 3
Source: RefSeq, a predicted model, not a curated record